AGCUUUGCGCAGUGGCAGUAUCGUAGCCAAUGAGGUUUAUCCGAGGCGCGAUUAUUGCUAAUUGAAAUGUAUUCAUUACUGAAAAUACAGAAUAAUCGAAAGGGAAACAACAGCUCUAGUCCCUUUUCUAAAAGACAAUUAGAUUUAAUGAAUUUUAGUAUUUUUUUCUCCUAA
RNAcentral lists this small nuclear RNA (174 nucleotides) under Canis lupus familiaris (dog). RNAcentral's name for it is "U4 spliceosomal RNA (ENSCAFG00040003560.1)". It matches the Rfam family "U4 spliceosomal RNA". Rfam says of the family: U4 small nuclear RNA (U4 snRNA) is a component of the major U2-dependent spliceosome. The structure of U4 snRNA from yeast and human has been reported. Lineage: Eukaryota; Metazoa; Chordata; Mammalia; Carnivora; Canidae. The record is from RNAcentral.